UACUGCAGCUAGCAUCUUUCUUCUUCUCUGUGCGUGUUCACCGACGUUUCCUCUCGUCUUUGAUCGAACGGAAAGCAUAAAAAGUGCAAACCUGCUGGCAUUGGGGCAAUGUGAGGGCUGCUGCGCUGCGCUGCAGAGCCGUGGUGGAUGAUUGGCCCCGUUGGGCCGUUCACCACAUCCACUCCAGUACGCUUGUUAGUGAGGAAGCAGAGACACUUCGUUCCUCCCUGCCUGCCGCCACAGGUGUUGUUCUCCAGCUUGUUGUUGGUGUGUAGCUCCCACUGCUGGGACGCCACAGCGCUGCCGCUGCCUUUGAAGUUCAUCAUUAGAAGUUUGGGCAAUGUCGUGUUGUGAAGUUUACUUAUAUUCUUCCCUCCCUGUAGAUGCUGUCAUGAAUGCUGCAAAUUAAGGAGAAUAUGCUGUCAUGCUCUCUCCAAACAAAGGAGAAUCCAGGCAUCAUCCUCUGGGAGUAAAAGGAGAUCAGAUGGGAGUAUCCUCCAUCUUCUGAGCCUCAGUUAGCGGGUGAUUAAAAUAAAUUGAGUGAUUAAUGGCAGCGUCAGUCAGCCAGAGUGGCAGCCAGGAGCAGGGCCCAGAAGAACGCAGUCAGGUCCCUCUAAGGCCGCACUCAGCUAAAGAGGCCGCUCAUCACCUGAAGGUGAACUUACUCACAACGGGACACAUCUGGGUGUGUGUGUGUGUGUGGAGCUAGAGUCUCCACUGUAAUCCGACUAGGUUCGUCAGUGCAGUUCGCUGCUUGAUUCGUUCACAGUGGAGGGUUUUUCACUGAAUCACCUCCUUUCCUCUGUGCUUUCACCCUGUCUUAAUGUGAAUGAUUAUAAUUUACCAAUGAAAGCAAGACCUCUUAGAAAAAUACACUCCAGGGUAGAGAUGAACCGAUUUAUCGACCAGCUGAUUUAUCUGUGCCGAUUUCCCUAAUUUUGGGAAAACGGUGAUCGAUUGAUCUUUACAUCUUAACCACCUAUUUCAUCUCCUCAGCAAAAGUAUUUAAAUCAACUGUUAUCUUCUGCUCUGCUGUGAGAAAGGUUUGACUAACAGACCAGCCCACCAGGUCAGGUCUAUAUGUUUGCAGUUAAUGAGUUGUUGGCAACUCUUUAACCUUCUUGGUACAUUUAGCAACAUUUUAGACAAAAAAAAAAAAUUGGUAUCAUCCAAAAUUGGAAUCGGCAGGUCAGGAUUUUUAAUAGAUCGGCCAGAAAACUGCAAUCAGUGCAGCCCUACUCCAGGGAGGUUUUGGCUCCUACUGGGUUGCAGUUGCUACAUUUGCAGCAAAAUCAGACGUCUGUGUUUCUGUGUGGAUCUCAGCAGGUAACUGGUUUACAGACACAAACACCUUUUAAACUGUUAGCCAGACUCACCUACAAAACCUUACAUAGUUUGUCAUGUCAUGGUGGGUUUUCUGUUUGCUGUUAUGUCAUUAAACCAGAAUAAAGGUAAAACGUCUGCUCCAUGCUCUCUUCCUCUGGUGACAUCACUAUGGGGUGGGGCCUUUAUCUGCAUUUUUUUAAUCCAAUAACCAAAUAUAAAAAGUGUUUCUAACCUCCUGGCAGAAGUUUGCUCCACCUGGACGGACUGUCUGUCAGUCUGUCUGUCAGUCAGUCUGGCCGCGGCUCGCUGCACUGCGCUGCCACUCCAGAUGCUGCUUCAGACGUGAUGUAGGACUUUGAAAGCUGGAUAGUUUGAUAGGCUGGAAGACUUUUAUUUUACCCCAGUGCAGAACUAACAGAUUACAUGCAGCUGUCAUAAGUCCACUUCAUCCUGCAAGAGUUGAUCAAUUAUUAAAAACAUUUCAUUCUGGACUUCCGGUUAUGGCGUCUUACUGAUCAGCUGCUGGGCUCUGAGCUCCGACCAAUGUACCCUGUAUUUAGAUAUCUAGACCACUGCUAAGAUAUUUUUCGUACGAGCAAAAUCCCUGGGACAAGCUAGAGACUCAAUUCAACCUGCCAAGAUGCCGAGCAAAUACACAUUAAAAGCGAAAACAACCAGCAAAGAGGGAUUCGAAGGCAAUGCUAGCAGCGAACUGGAAAACGAGCACAUGGAGGAGGCUAAUGCUAACUCUCAGACCUCUGAAGCUACCCUCCUGGAAGCAAUCCAAGCCUUGAAAACUCACUUUUUACCAAGCAACUAUGGGAGAUUUGAACUUCGAAUCAAGAAAUUAAAGACACAAUUUGAGUGUUCCUCGAGAGGUUUACCUCUGCAAAAUCCCGCAUUAGCAACCUGGAGGAUGGCGUCGCCUCGUUAACAGGCAAAGAAGCGUCCAUACAAAAGAAAAUCCAGGAUCUUUGAAGGUGGAGCUUGAAAACAGAUGCCGGAGAUCCAACCUGAGACUCGUGGGUUUACCCGAGAAGACAGAGCAAGGGGACAUUGCGGCUUUUCUGCAGACCUGGCUGAUGGAGGCCCUGCGGCAGAAUGCAUUUCCAUCCCCCACCCAUUAUCGAGCGGGCCCACAGGCUGCAGGGCCAGAGCGCCCCAGGCCGCCCACCACGCGUGAUCAUCAUGCAAUUGUUAUAGAUCCGUCAAGC
Long non-coding RNA from Xiphophorus couchianus (Monterrey platyfish), 2540 nucleotides. RefSeq lists it as uncharacterized. Lineage: Eukaryota; Metazoa; Chordata; Actinopteri; Cyprinodontiformes; Poeciliidae. The transcript is spliced from 2 exons. The record is from RefSeq and is a predicted model, not a curated record.